UAGACUUGUAUUUAUGAGUAGUACCAAAGUCUUUUGCUGAAUAACCUUUAAUACAACUACAUGGGUUCUUAGCUGUGGUAUAAAUCUUUAUUAUCCGUGAAAUAGGUAAUAAUUUCUUUGGAGGCAAAUAAGUGCUAAAUUAAUUAUAGCAGCAGUUCAUAAAUACCAGUAAUACUAAUUGCACAAUAAAACAUGACUAAAUAAGACUGAAAU
Molecule: long non-coding RNA, 213 nt
Filed under: Homo sapiens (human)
Lineage: Eukaryota; Metazoa; Chordata; Mammalia; Primates; Hominidae
Description: non-protein coding lnc-HS3ST5-5:1
Source: RNAcentral